RNAcentral lists this non-coding RNA (933 nucleotides) under Hyloxalus pulchellus (Espada's rocket frog). Its description in RNAcentral is "12S small subunit ribosomal RNA". It matches the Rfam family "Bacterial small subunit ribosomal RNA". Lineage: Eukaryota; Metazoa; Chordata; Amphibia; Anura; Dendrobatidae. The record is from RNAcentral.
UAAAGGUUUGGUCCUAGCCUUGAAGUCAGUUUUUAUUUAAUAUACACAUGCAAGUCUCCGCACCCCUGUGAGAACGCCCUUUAACUUCCCGUUAGGAAAUAGGAGCUGGUAUCAGGCACAACUUUUUGCCCAAAACACCUAGCCUCGCCACACCCACAAGGGACUUCAGCAGUGAUUAACAUUGAGCAUAAGCGACAGCUUGACUCAGUUAAACUAAUUAGAGCCGGCCAAUCUGGUGCCAGCCGCCGCGGUUACACCACUGUGGCUCAAAUUGACCUCCAUCGGCGUAAAGCGUGAUUUAAGUAUUUAAAUAUCAUUGAAGCUAAAUUAAAACUAAGCUGUGACACGCUUGUUAAUUAAGAAGCCCAAAAACGAAAGUUGCUUCAAUUAAAUCAACUUGAACUCACGACAACUGAGAAACAAACUGGGAUUAGAUACCCCACUAUGCUCAGUCGUAAACUUUUUCCUACUCACUCAAUCGCCUGGGAACUACGAGCCAAGCUUAAAACCCAAAGGACUUGACGGUACCCCACAUCCACCUAGAGGAGCCUGUCCUGUAAUCGAUAACCCCCGUUUAACCUCACCAUCUUUAGUAACUCAGCCUGUAUACCUCCGUCGUCAGCUUACCACGUGAGCGUCAGUGAGCUUAAUGUUCUUUCAACUAAACGUCAGGUCAAGGUGCAACACAUGAGACGGGAAGAGAUGGGCUACACUUUCUAACUUAGACUAUACGAAAGACUAUCUAUGAAACCUAGUCUGAAGGCGGAUUUAGAAGUAAAAUGGAACUAGAGAGUCCUUUUUAACCCGGCACUGGGGUGUGUACACACCGCCCGUCACCCUCCUCAACGCUAUUAAGAGUCUAUAACAUAUUUUUAGCCCUUCAGAAGAGGCAAGUCGUAACAUGGUAAGUAUACCGGAAGGUGUGCUUGGAAA